UUGGUGACCAGCGGAGGGAUCAUUACCGAGUUUACAACUCCCAAACCCAAUGUGAACGUUACCAAACUGUUGCCUCGGCGGGGUCACGCCCCGGGUGCGUCGCAGCCCCGGAACCAGGCGCCCGCCGGAGGAACCAACCAAACUCUUUCUGUAGUCCCCUCGCGGACGUAUUUCUUACAGCUCUGAGCAAAAAUUCAAAAUGAAUCAAAACUUUCAACAACGGAUCUCUUGGUUCUGGCAUCGAUGAAGAACGCAGCGAAAUGCGAUAAGUAAUGUGAAUUGCAGAAUUCAGUGAAUCAUCGAAUCUUUGAACGCACAUUGCGCCCGCCAGUAUUCUGGCGGGCAUGCCUGUCCGAGCGUCAUUUCAACCCUCGAACCCCUCCGGGGGAUCGGCGUUGGGGAUCGGGACCCCUCACACGGGUGCCGGCCCCGAAAUACAGUGGCGGUCUCGCCGCAGCCUCUCCUGCGCAGUAGUUUGCACAACUCGCACCGGGAGCGCGGCGCGUCCACGUCCGUAAAACACCCAACUUUCUGAAAUGUUGACCUCGGAUCAGGUAGGAAUACCCGCUGAACUUAAGCAUAUCAAUAAGCGGAG
Molecule: ribosomal RNA, 595 nt
Filed under: Trichoderma asperellum
Lineage: Eukaryota; Fungi; Ascomycota; Sordariomycetes; Hypocreales; Hypocreaceae
Description: eukaryotic LSU rRNA
Rfam family: 5.8S ribosomal RNA (bases 209-362)
Source: RNAcentral